Molecule: long non-coding RNA, 220 nt
Organism: Thalassophryne amazonica
Lineage: Eukaryota; Metazoa; Chordata; Actinopteri; Batrachoidiformes; Batrachoididae
Exons: 3
Source: RefSeq, a predicted model, not a curated record
CCACAAUAAGAGCCUUUAUUUCAAAAUAAAAGCCUGUGAGGUUGCUGUAGACCUGACAGAAUUCAUCAGUCUGUCCAUCCUCUAACAUCCCAGACCGCAGAUUCAAAUCUGGACAUUUUCUCUAUGCAUGUGACCCCAAACCCAGAAUUAACACGUUCACACUCCGGACAAAACAGCAGACUUGUGUCUCACCACAGGAAGAAAAAUAAAUGCAUGAAUU